UUAGUGAUGAUGAGCCUUUAACAUGUAAGAAAAAUCCCCAGUGGGGUUUCUUCAAUGAAAUAUUCAUGUUACGCUUGGCUUCUGAGCUUA
This is a small nucleolar RNA of Arachis stenosperma, 90 nucleotides long. RefSeq annotates it as small nucleolar RNA R24. The record is from RefSeq and is a predicted model, not a curated record. NCBI's taxonomy places the organism in Eukaryota, Viridiplantae, Streptophyta, Magnoliopsida, Fabales, Fabaceae. The transcript has a single exon.